This 501-nucleotide ribosomal RNA is filed under the name uncultured bacterium. RNAcentral describes it as "bacterial SSU rRNA". It matches the Rfam family "Bacterial small subunit ribosomal RNA", at positions 30 to 527 of the family's 1533-position model. The record is from RNAcentral.
AUUGAACGCUGGCGGAAUGCUUUACACAUGCAAGUCGAACGGUAGAGGGGGCAACCCCUUGAGAGUGGCGAACGGGUGAGUAAUAUAUCGGAACGUGCCCAGUCGUGGGGAUAACGUAGCGAAAGUUACGCUAAUACCGCAUACGAUCUAAGGAUGAAAGCGGGGGACUCGCAAGAGCCUCGCGCGAUUGGAGCGGCCGAUAUCAGAUUAGGUAGUUGGUGGGGUAAAGGCUCACCAAGCCAACGAUCUGUAGCUGGUCUGAGAGGACGACCAGCCACACUGGAACUGAGACACGGUCCAGACUCCUACGGGAGGCAGCAGUGGGGAAUUUUGGACAAUGGACGCAAGUCUGAUCCAGCCAUUCCGCGUGCAGGAUGAAGGCCCUCGGGUUGUAAACUGCUUUUGUACGGAACGAAAAGGUUUCUAUUAAUACUAGGAGCUCAUGACGGUACCGUAAGAAUAAGCACCGGCUAACUACGUGCCAGCAGCCGCGGUAAUGUG